AAUGAAUCAACUUUUAAGGUUUUGUGUGUGCAGAUCAGUCUUAAGAAGAAACCCAUUUGCAUCAAAACCCAUAUCUUCUUCAUUGAUCUCGAAUAAUCCGACUUCUUCAAACCUAAUACUACCACUCAUCUCAAAAUCCCACCACACUUUUGAUUAUCCUCCACAAAUCUUUUCAACCCAUGGAAACCAGUUCCGAAAAUUCAAUGGAGAUCUAGUCGGUGGAGACCCAGCAGCAGCAGCAGCAGCAGCAGCAGCAGAAGCAGAAUGCAACUCUGACGAUGAUGAUGAAAUUUCUGAAGAAGAUGAUCUGAAAUAUGAAAUUUAUGAACUUCACAUGGAUAUAGGCGGGGCUCGGGACAACAUUGAAUUAUGUAGCUUACCUCCUCUUGAGGCUGUCAAGAUUCCGGCGGACAACCUUAAGGCCUUACUGAAAAAAUUCGGUCUUGACAAUGUAAAAUAUCGUGAUUAUCCCCCUCACCUGCAGAGCUUCAGAAAAGAGAUAGCACUUGCCAAAGAAUGCGUUCAGGAAAUCGUGGAUUUUGGGAGGUAUGCUGCACUUGGCAAAUAUAGGGGUGGACGGCCUAAUUGGAAAUACUUCACAAAAUGGUAUUACGAUGCUGGUGGUAUGGAGGAGCUAGAGAGUUUUAUGAAUGUGACACUUUGCCAACUGCUCAGGACCAGAUUCCAAUGCCUGUGGAUGGUGCUUCUUCAGAGCGGUCGGUGGAGAUCCAGCAGCAGCAGAAUGUAGCGAUGAUGAUCUGGAAGAUGAAAUUUCUAACAAAGGUGAUUUGAAAGAUGAAAUUUCUAACAAAGAUGAUCUGAAAGAUGAAAUUUUUGAACUUCUCCUGGAAAUAGAAGAGGCUCUGGACAACAUUGAAUUACGUACCCUACCUCCUCUUGAUGUCAAGAUUCCGGCGGACCAACUGGAGGCCUUAUUGAAAAAAUGGGGUCUUGACAGUGUAAAAUGUGGGGAUUAUCCGCCUCACCUGCAGAGCUUUGGAAAAGAUAUAGAAUUUUUGAAAGUACGGGAUCGUGAAACCGCGGAUUUUGGGAAGUAUGCUGCAGCUGGCAAAUAUAGUGGACGACGGCCUUAUUGGGUUGACUUCAAAAAAUGGUAUGAUGCUGGUGGUAUGGUCGAGCUAGAGAGUUCUGAAUCAAAAAAUGAACGUGACGCUUUGCCAACUGCUCAGGACCAGAUUCCAAUGCCUGUGGAUGGUGCUUCUUCAGUUGCGGAUAGACAUUAACUAUCGGAUGGCCUGAAAAUCUUUGGGGAUACAGAUAAAGGGAAAACACCCCCAGGACAUGUUCGGUUGCUGCAGUUGCGUUUGUAACAUUGUAAGAAAUGUAAGGGAAUCCUCGGUGAGCUGGGUGCCUCGCUUCAGGAUGGAAAGCAAACUGAGGCAGUUGCGGCUUUGGAAGCUGUAAAAUUGGCCUGGCAAAAGCUGAUUCUCAACCAUCACUUAGAAGGGAACUAUCAUAAUGUUGGUGAAUGCAAUCAGCAGUAGCUUAGGGCUGUUGUAUAGACAACAAGCUGUGUCAUCUAAGACUGUCUAGAAUUGCUUAACAUUUUGAAUAAGUGGGUUUGUAGUUUGUACACAUGUACGUUGAGACUGUUGAGGUGGCUGAUAAUCUAGCAAAAGAUGCUAAAGAUGUUAGACUCGUCAUAUCUCAAUUUUCUGGGGUCGUGAUUUACCUCUUUGGUUAAGAACUCUCGUUAGAAAGAAACUGGGUGUGUGUUUAUCUGUGGCUUGGAAGGAUAAUCUAAACAAUAAAGCUGUGCCAAUUUCCAGACCUUACAAGAAUACAAGUUACCAGUUAUAAACCUCCAAAAGGCAUUCUGUUAGU
This is an RNA transcript of Papaver somniferum (opium poppy), 1845 nucleotides long. RefSeq lists it as uncharacterized. The record is from RefSeq and is a predicted model, not a curated record. NCBI's taxonomy places the organism in Eukaryota, Viridiplantae, Streptophyta, Magnoliopsida, Ranunculales, Papaveraceae. The transcript has 6 exons.